Non-coding RNA from Melipona bicolor, 75 nucleotides. NCBI's taxonomy places the organism in Eukaryota, Metazoa, Arthropoda, Insecta, Hymenoptera, Apidae. The record is from the annotation of a GenBank genome assembly.
GGCUCAUUAGCUCAGUUGGUUAGAGCGUCGUGCUAAUAACGCGAAGGUCGCGGGUUCGUAUCCCCCCAUGAGCCA